AAACCAGAUCUCGCUCUCAGACCUCUCCAACACUCUCUGCCGUCGCUCCUCACUGACCGCACCUCAGCCGUCGAUACCGCCUCUCUCACCACGCUCCCUCAGCCCCGAUCAAAUACCACCGCCGACACCAAGCUAAGGACUCAAGCGCCACUCUCAUCAACCACCCAUGACGCUUCUCUUCUUCUCGUUAGUUACCGGUGACCAGACCCAGCCGAAAACGACGCCUCCACGUACUGUCGACGACGCCUGCCACUGACGUCGCCACCACCACUGUGGUUCUCAGCCGCCGCCGGUUCCGCUGAAGGCACUACCUAUGAGUUGCUGAUGACUAGUGCUAUCAUAUGUGACUAGAGGAGAAUCAGAGACUGGCGGUGGAAUGCUCGUUGUUGCAGUGCAAGAGAUGGGAGAGAGAGUGCUCGUUGUACGACAGGGACCGAGAGGCAUUGAUGGUUCGACAAGUACGAUGCCCUGUAGCUGGUCUGGUCUUGUAAAUGUAGUAUUGUCACAGGAGGAGAUAUAUCAGAAGUACCUGGAUGAUACCAAGGCAAGAAAAACACAUUUUGCUUCUGCUGAUUCUGCAACUAAUGGUUCUUCUUGUUGUUGUUUCCCGUCCUCGCCAGUGCCAGGUACAAUCUCGUCAUCUUAGGAGACGAGUCUGUCGGCAAAAGCAGUAUCAUCACUCACUUUAUGAACAACAAGUUCCGUAACAAAUACGAGAUCUUUUGAGGAAUGUGAGGACUCAAGUAUUGCUCAAACUGAUCAAGCCUUACACAAGAAUUCGGAUCCCUUUCAUAUCCAAGGUCAAAGGGGAUGAAGAAAUACACUGACGUGGAUAAGUGGAACACACAGCUUAGGUCCCUCUAUCAGACUGUUCGUUUGUGGUGCGUAUUAAGGUUUGACGAGCUCUUGCACGAAUUAAGGGUUGGCUCUCCACUUGUGUGCCUGAUCUGGUCAGCCAUCACAUAUGAACUAUCUUCUUCCUCUUAUAUUCUCUUCUCUGUUCCCCUUUGUUUUGGGUUUCAAGUUACAGAGAAGUUAUAUUUAGCCCGAGGAGACUUGAGGCUGCUUUUCAUAUUAAAGAAGUCUUUAACAGUUGCACUGUUUAUAUUUGUCUGUUUAGUUUUCUGCAUUGUUUACGCCUUAUGGGUUCAUCUAGUCAUUUCGAUAUGUUUUCUCAUCUGAUGAGCAUGUUGUAAUGGAUUAUUUGAUUAACUAGAUAACGUGACUAAUUGAAGU
Molecule: RNA transcript, 1236 nt
Organism: Ipomoea nil (Japanese morning glory)
Lineage: Eukaryota; Viridiplantae; Streptophyta; Magnoliopsida; Solanales; Convolvulaceae
Exons: 6
Source: RefSeq, a predicted model, not a curated record